Molecule: ribosomal RNA, 729 nt
Filed under: Bacillus licheniformis
Lineage: Bacteria; Bacillati; Bacillota; Bacilli; Caryophanales; Bacillaceae
Description: bacterial SSU rRNA
Rfam family: Bacterial small subunit ribosomal RNA
Source: RNAcentral
AUACAUGCAGUCGAGCGGACCGACGGGAGCUUGCUCCCUUAGGUCAGCGGCGGACGGGUGAGUAACACGUGGGUAACCUGCCUGUAAGACUGGGAUAACUCCGGGAAACCGGGGCUAAUACCGGAUGCUUGAUUGAACCGCAUGGUUCAAUCAUAAAAGGUGGCUUUUAGCUACCACUUACAGAUGGACCCGCGGCGCAUUAGCUAGUUGGUGAGGUAACGGCUCACCAAGGCGACGAUGCGUAGCCGACCUGAGAGGGUGAUCGGCCACACUGGGACUGAGACACGGCCCAGACUCCUACGGGAGGCAGCAGUAGGGAAUCUUCCGCAAUGGACGAAAGUCUGACGGAGCAACGCCGCGUGAGUGAUGAAGGUUUUCGGAUCGUAAAACUCUGUUGUUAGGGAAGAACAAGUACCGUUCGAAUAGGGCGGCACCUUGACGGUACCUAACCAGAAAGCCACGGCUAACUACGUGCCAGCAGCCGCGGUAAUACGUAGGUGGCAAGCGUUGUCCGGAAUUAUUGGGCGUAAAGCGCGCGCAGGCGGUUUCUUAAGUCUGAUGUGAAAGCCCCCGGCUCAACCGGGGAGGGUCAUUGGAAACUGGGGAACUUGAGUGCAGAAGAAGAGAGUGGAAUUCCACGUGUAGCGGUGAAAUGCGUAGAGAUGUGGAGGAACACCAGUGGCGAAAGCGACUCUCUGGUCUGUAACUGACGCUGAGCCGCGAAAAGCA